Molecule: long non-coding RNA, 3480 nt
Filed under: Paramuricea clavata
Lineage: Eukaryota; Metazoa; Cnidaria; Anthozoa; Malacalcyonacea; Plexauridae
Source: RNAcentral
UUAGGGAACAUGAAAUGCAGUGAUAUUGACGCAGUUUAUUCGCUCUUCAUUGCGGCGCUGGUUGCAUAUAUUAUCCUCACUGUGACUUCCUUCACUGCAUCCAUCUUUGGCUGUCUGGGUACUUGCUGCGCUCCUGUUGUGAGUAUAUGCCUUUUGUGCUAUGAUUAACAGUUAGGAACCGUUCAUUAUUUAUGGGAGGGGGGGUGGGCAUGGGUGAGAAACUGGGGGGCCUGAGACUUUUCCAGAUGAAAAAAGGGGAGACUGCAAUUCUGGUAAACCAAAUCCUGGGGGACCUGAAAUUGAAGGAAGACACAUAACUUGCACAUACACACCCAGCCCCAAAACAUGGCUUGCUGAUUUUUCUUAUUUAUACUUAAUAUCAUUUUAUUGCUUUUAGGGGUAAUUUAGGUGGAUGUAGUCGAUUCAAUUCUACAGAGAACGAAACAUUUCCGUACUUUUAUUCAUUAGUAUUAACAAGCUAUGACAUGGUCAAACUUAGAAAUGGUUUGUCUUAAGUGUAAACGUUUUAGUCAAGUCAAGUUUUAUGUAUCUUCGUUUAUGAAAUAUUAAACAAUAAACUUCUAUACUCUUUUAUUGUGGAUUUAAUAUUGUUUUUAAAAUGAAUUUAAAAAACUCGUUAAAGGCACAGUUCAGCUUUUUGAGUGAUGGUUUUUAAGGCGCGUUUGAAAUUCAAGGUUUUUGUGACAUCUGUCUCAAGACAUUUUAAACUGAUUGUAGUCCAAUAUAACGACCAGCUGAAAGACGCAUGAUCAACUAUUCUCACCCACCCAAACUGACGUUUUACUUGACAUAAGUUUUUAAUGGAAACGUUAUAAUUUUUCGUAAUAAUAGCGACAAACAAUCAGUUUGUUUAAAGAUUAUGUUCAAUGUAGAAUUAAUAUGUGAGUAGGCAACUGCCAAGUAACUGCAGGUGGUAUAUUUCUUGAAAUUUGAGAACCUAACUUUUUGCCUUGAAAUUUGAGAACCUUUAGCAAUUCAAAUUUUGACAAAAUUAAAUGUGCCAAAACCAAUUGAGCAGAAUGACUUCUAGAAAGAGGUGGAAAUAUGACACAAUUCUUUUCGUUAAAUUUCAGAGAAAGUUAAUGUGCAAUUGACGGUAGGGCUAAUAAACUUCUAAUUAACAUGAAGUAAUGGCAAACAAACAACAGAAAUCGCGGUCUCAGUAAUCGAAAUUUCCAAGAUGGCGCUGGAAGUUGAAAGUGCGGAGUAAGUUUUUGUAGAUUAUAAAGUAAUUUAUUUUCCUUUCUGUGUAGGUUUUUUUUACAAAACUUACUCGAUUGUCUUGCUGUAUCUUUCUAGUGUCGUUGGGUUAAUUGAAUAAUACUUGAAAGAGAAUAAUCUGCCAAGAACUUUGGCUGUUUUGCAGGUAAGGUGAUUGAAAAAUAUUUGGAAUAAUUGACCUUACCGAUUAUUCUCUUUUACCCAAUGGCUCGUUUCCAUUAUAUUCCCAUGUUUUCCUGGACGAAGUUGUUUCUUGCUGUGUUUAGGCUCGAUAACAAAGUAAUUUUCAACCUACUAAGGGGGAGCAUCCAUACUCAAGUCAGGGUUGGCAAAUGUUCUUAUAUUAGUUGUUCUUGUAUGUUCUUAUAUUAUAUAAGAAUAUUUUUUGGGAGGCAAAAAUGUUCUUAUAUUUUCUUAUAUUAUUCUCAUUAAUUAUUCUACUUCGAAGUAGUAAAAUGUAAAUUUUAACUAUUUAAUUGACAUUCAUCCUGAAAAUAAAAUAUACAGAUAAUACAGUAGUCGUAUAAAUACUGCAGUGAUAACUAUUUUUAUAAUUUUGAAAGCCAAGACGUUACAGCAACAUCUAAAAUUGAAGUUGAAUCGUCAUUUUAGGAUUUUGGAUGACAUGUUAAUAUGACGUCAUCAAAGUUUUUGAAAAUGUUCUUAUAUUGCAAAAAAUGUUCUUAUAUUAAUAUAAGAAAUAAGAACAUUUUAUUUUUGAAAAAAUGUUCUUAUAUCCAACCCUGACUCAAGUACUCAACUUGCCACGAGAAACGUCAAUUUGACGUUUGUGGGUGUGUGCGUUAUUUUCUUUGACGUUUUGCCUGUGGCAGUUUGACACUUUAGAAUAUUAUAAAAGUACAAUAUAAAAUUCUUUUGUAUAAUAUAAAAUUCUAUUUGUAAUAUGUACUUUAAAAACACAAACCUGUGCAAUAUUUUCCCUUGUCAAUGGAAAAAAACAAACUUUCUUACUUCGCCAAGCGGUAAAUCAAGGCUUUAUAUUUAUUUGUUAUGUUUGUAUAUUGUUCGCUAUAGUCUCUAUUCAAAAGUACUUUAUGAGAUAUAUAGGACGAUAUGGAAGUUAAUACAAGUAUUUUCGAGUAUUCACACUUGUUUUUUUCUUGCCAUGGAUUGACGUUUCUAGGGUGGGUGGGUGGGUGGGUAUGAAAAAGAAACAUCAAAUUGACGUUUCUCGUGGCAAGUUGAGUAUGGAUGCUCCCCCUAAGCACAAAACAUGAGUAAGUAUUUGACACGAAAACGAGGGUUAUGAGGCCAUUGGGUGAAAAGUGAAUAAACGGUAAGGUCUAUUGAAUUAAUAUAUUAACCAUGUAGGGGAAUUUUAAAUUUUGCCACACCCAAGUAAUUACUGAAUAUAUGCAAGUCUAUUACUAGUAAACUAUUAAUGCUGUCAAAUACAUCAUACAUGUUCACGUUUUGUAGGCAGUAUUUUAAAGACAGGCAAAUUCUUUCGAAAAGCUCUGAAGAUUGGCCGUCAUGGCCAAGGGCCAAAGAGAACUUUGUUUUGCUUUCACUGUUGAUUUUUUGAGUUGAUUCGUUUUGGAUUUUCUUGAUUAAUUUUGUUGGGUGAUUGUGAGUUUGUGACUACCACGGUUCGCUGCAAGGCCAUUAUGAAAAAAGUUUAUAAGUGGCCUAUAGGUGCUUAUAGGAAAUGUUCCAGGGAACCGUUAUAGGAAGCCUUUAGGCAUCAAUAGAGCUCUAUAGGCUUGCUUAUUGACAUCCCUAUAGGUCAACUAUAGAAAAUGUUCCAAUUGCCUAUAAAAACCUAUAGGUUUCGUAUACAGUAUAGGUUUGCCUAUAGGCCAGGCCUAUUGCCAAGGAAUUGGAAAAUGUAAACAUUAGUUAAUGGUUUGUUGUUUUUCUUACAGGCAUGGCCAAAGAGAAGUACUUAGUAAAGUACAAGGAAUAGCCACAAUAGCCCAAGGUAUUGCCUUAGAAAGUUAUUAGGAAAUUAAUUGGUAGAAGCCGAUAAUCGGCAACUUUCAUGGAGAUCGGUUAACUAUCGACCAAUCACAUUGACAUAUAUUGGCAUGUAUCGGCCGUCCAAUAAAUAGAAUUCUGGGGCCAGUUGUAUAAAACCUUUGCCUACUUUUAACUAUCCAUUUUGUAGUUAAUUUGUAGUUAACUUUGACAAUGUAGUUAAGUCAGUUGUAUAGGAAUGUAGAAAGUGUUAACUGCAGUUAAAAAGUAGCUAAAGUUAAGUAGUUAAAGGGUAUGGGC